RNAcentral lists this ribosomal RNA (482 nucleotides) under uncultured bacterium. RNAcentral's name for it is "partial 16S ribosomal RNA". It matches the Rfam family "Bacterial small subunit ribosomal RNA", at positions 30 to 507 of the family's 1533-position model. The record is from RNAcentral.
AUUGAACGCUGGCGGCAUGCCUUACACAUGCAAGUCGAACGGUAACGGGCCUUCGGGUGCCGACGAGUGGCGAACGGGUGAGUAAUACAUCGGAACGUGCCCGAUCGUGGGGGAUAACGAGGCGAAAGCUUUGCUAAUACCGCAUACGAUCUACGGAUGAAAGCAGGGGACCGCAAGGCCUUGCGCGGACGGAGCGGCCGAUGGCAGAUUAGGUAGUUGGUGGGAUAAAAGCUUACCAAGCCGACGAUCUGUAGCUGGUCUGAGAGGAUGAUCAGCCACACUGGGACUGAGACACGGCCCAGACUCCUUCGGGAGGCAGCAGUGGGGAAUUUUGGACAAUGGGCGCAAGCCUGAUCCAGCCAUGCCGCGUGCAGGAUGAAGGCCUUCGGGUUGUAAACUGCUUUUGUACGGAACGAAAAGCCUUCUUUUAAUACAGGAGGGUCAUGACGGUACCGUAAGAAUAAGCACCGGCUAACUACGUG